This is a non-coding RNA of Meloidogyne enterolobii, 88 nucleotides long. NCBI's taxonomy places the organism in Eukaryota, Metazoa, Nematoda, Chromadorea, Rhabditida, Meloidogynidae. The record is from the annotation of a GenBank genome assembly.
UCGUGGCUCCGGUAGUUAAGUGGUAGAGCGUCUAUUUAGUUUUCAGCAUGGUCGCAGGUUCGAAUCCUGCCUGAGGCGUUAUUACUAU